GAGCCCUUGAGCAUAUCUCCUCCAUCAACACAGACGCUAGUGGUAAAUAGAAGAUGAAGUAACACAGUUGAGGGAAACAAGCCCAUGGUAAAGACCCUGCAUAACUGCCUUAUAAAGAAAUGAAUCAACUUCAGCAUUGAUCCCCAUCAUUGGGACAGAGUUCAGCAUGCAAACACUCAGAGGUGGCUGACCACAACCAGAACACCUACCCCACCCGGAACAAGGUCUGCAAGCCCUGUAGCUGCCCAGCCUCAAGGCAGAAGAAAGAGCCUGGAGACAGUGACAGAGACAUCAAUGGUUUAUUGGACAGAGGAAUCUUAAGUCUGAAGCAAAAGUUCCUGGAGCGUCA
Bubalus bubalis (water buffalo) is the source of this 349-nucleotide long non-coding RNA. RefSeq lists it as uncharacterized. Lineage: Eukaryota; Metazoa; Chordata; Mammalia; Artiodactyla; Bovidae. The transcript has 3 exons. The record is from RefSeq and is a predicted model, not a curated record.